Peromyscus leucopus (white-footed mouse) is the source of this 9341-nucleotide long non-coding RNA. RefSeq lists it as uncharacterized. NCBI's taxonomy places the organism in Eukaryota, Metazoa, Chordata, Mammalia, Rodentia, Cricetidae. The transcript is spliced from 4 exons. The record is from RefSeq and is a predicted model, not a curated record.
AGAAAGAAAGAAAGAAAGAAAGAAAGAAAGAAAGAAAGAAAGAAAGAAAGAAAGGAAAGAAAGGAAGAAACUUGAGCCUUAGUAGUAAAUGAACAGUCCUGGGCAUGCAAGAUGGCUCAUGGAACAAAGCUGCUUGCUGCAAAGCCCAAGGGACCUGAGUUCAAUUCCUGGAACCCUUAUGGUGAAAGGGAAGAUCCAACUCUUGAAAGUUGUUGUCUAACCUCUGUGAGGGACCCUGAACAUACAAAUAAACAGAUAGAUGUAAAGGGAAGAAGGGACCCUGAACAUACAAAUAAACAGAUAGAUGUAAAAGGAAGAAACGUAAAGGCUAACUAGAAAAUGAUGACAACAGAACCAGUUUGUCUUUUCUAACAGGGGAAAGGAGGUGAAUUGCCUCUUUUUUAAAAAGGAGCUUCUCAGGAGAAGAACUGGGUCUUUCUUUGGUUUGAGUUGCAUUUGCCUAAUUAACUAAUCUAUUAAUGUCAUUAAUUAAUGUCAAAAUUAAUUAAUUUUACAUAAAAGGAGAGGUUAGAAAAAUUACUACUGAAAAACUACCUUCUCUGCCUUUUCCUUAGGAGCCCUUAAGUGUCCAACUAAUACAGCUUUCUUCAGCAUAGAGCUUGAAUCAGGGGCCAGGAGUGGCAGGCUGCUCUCUAUAAAAGAAAACAAGACUAAUGCCUUAUGUGACUACUGUAAAGAAGUCAUCAAAUGAGAAACAAAAUUAACUGUUUCAUACAUGUGAAGAAGAAACAUCCACAGACAUACUACAGACCAAAAUACGAAAUGAAAAAUGUGAAGUAUUCAGACAUCAUCCAUCAGUGCAAUAUAUUUACGAUUCCAAUACUAGAAUUAUGGUCUUCAGUAACUGAAACACUAGCAAAGACAAAGAAUAUUAAUUGGCAAACACCAUGGAAAUGACAAUCUUUGAUUUUAAAACAUUCAAGCCUGAGGAAGAAAGCUCCAAUCAAUUGUGUUGUUCUUUUGUAAGUGUUCAAUAAGCUCUCUUUUGCAAGUGCCCUGGACACAGAAAAACUUCAGAGGAGGCUGUAAGCCAAUUCUAGAUGGUCUUGAUGUGUUUUCAUCAUCUCCACAUUAAUUCCUUCUUGUUUGGUAAUUCUGAUACACUUUUAUUGCCCUUCUUCCCCUGCUCUCCUCCCCAAGAACUGAGGUUUUUACUUUGUUUUGUUUUUUCGAGUGAAUUAGACAUGUAGCUUCUAUUCCAAUUUUAUGAAAACAUCUCUCAUUUUCAGUUUCACUUUGUGUACAUGAAGAUCGCUGUGUGGAGUUACCUCUCUGACUUUUAAUACUGUCUUAGUCUCCAAAUUCCAGGCUGGGAUUAGUCCACCCUAUGUGUUUGUAGCACUACAGUAUGCUUGCUUAGCCUGCCAGUGACCUCGUUAGACUGGCAUGCUUUGUCAGCUUCUGGAAUAAUUAGAUCAUUGAUUUCAACCCUAUCUGUAAAGCAACUUCACGUUCUUAAAAGAACGUUACCACCACUUUGUACUUAGACUCUGUGCCACAGUUGAAUGCUGAAAGGCCACAAGCUUGCAUGGGAUUCGUUGUUUCAUUAUUAACUAUAUUGUAGUUUUAAAUUAUUAAAUUAACGAAUGACAUUCUUACCAAGUAGAUGUUUCUAAGUAAGGUACUAUAUGUGUACAGUAGUCCAAAGUUUCUUAAUACUUGUGAUAAUUCUGUAAUUUAAUUUAGAAUGUCUGUAUUGCAAAUUAAUAAAACUGUUGAGGUUAUAAAGUUGCUCAUUAAGGAAGCAAUUCUCCUGCCAUUUAGUUUGUUUGUUCUCUGCACUAAACUGAGACGCCAGAUGGCCACAGAAAAACAUGUUAAUAUUAUUUAAAUAGUGCUUUUAUUCCUUGAAAUGUUCAAGAAGUUUAAGAAACUUCCAUUAACAAUGUUGCAUUGCAUUGUAUUUGGAAGAAAUAAUUUUUUUGAGCACUUUACUCCUGUAAUGUGCCUUUGGUAUACAUGAUGGGAAGUGAUAUAUUGUAAAAGCAGUUCUAUUUCAUUUUCUAUAUUUAUUUAGUGCUGCUCAUGUGUGUAUGCAUGUGUUUGUGUCUGUAGUUAUGGAGAUGCAUGUGGGGGGGAGCUGUGUGUCACCACAGAACACUUGGAAUUCAGAGGAAAACUGUUGCAGGCAGUUCUCCCCUUUGCCCAUUGGCUUCCAAGAGUCAAACUCAGGUCUUUAGGCUGAGUGGGAAGCACCUACCUUUACCUGCUGAACCAGCACGCUGGCCCAGCACCUCCAUUUCUAGAUGUCCAGUUUUAAAAAUCUAAUAUCAUUCAAUAGGUGCUGGAUACUACAAAACUCUUUUGCAGUUUCCAAUUUAUUUGUAGACUUUUAAAUUUUAUUGGUUUUGUGUUUCUGACUGCCUUUAUUCUCUCACAUUUCUGCAUGUAUAUAUCAAUGGACAUGUAUACAUAAAGGAGCUGAAUCUAUGAUUUUCAUUGGAGGGUUUAUUCUGCCUGAAAUAAGGUAGUUUCUUACGCAGCUUUCAAAAUAUAAUCUAUUAUUCUAAACUCUGCAUGGAUUCCACCUGCAAUAUGAACUUCCCUCAACUGUAUUAUCAUGAAACCCUCUCUCCCACUUUUGGAUAUUUUUAGCCUUUAAUAUAUUUUCAUUAAUUUAUUAAAUAUGUACUUCCUCUUGGUAGUUUUUAAAGUAUUAUACUGCUUAAAUAUUUUUAAAUAACAUUCAUAAUCAAGUUAGCUUCAGACCUCAAGAACAGGAUGUUUCCUGAAGCAAGCUUUGCAAAUUUAGUAUCUAGUUGCUGUUUGGAAAAAACAAUAGCAGUAAAUACAACAGAAAUAAGCAAUAUGAUCUAAAACAGCCAUAUCACAUGGGGGAAUCUAUAAUAAUAUGGAUAAUAAUAUUCAAAUAAUAACUAUUAACUAUAACUAUUAUAAAAAUGUUGAUUUUUCCAGGAGGUAGAGAGAUGAUAGAUAGGUAGUUAGAUAGAUAGAUAGAUAGAUAGAUAGAUAGAUAGAUAGAUAGAUAGAUGAUGGAUAAAUUUCUUAAUCUUAGUUCUUAGUAUGUACGUGAUUUGCAUAUACUUGUAUGUAUAUGUUUAUGCAUGUGAUUAGUGUAUCUCUGUGUGUGUGUGUGUGUGUGUGUGUUACUAUGUAUAAGUGCCACAGCACAAGGACAGCCUCCGGUGUUGAUCCUCAUCUUCCACCUUGAGACAGGUUCUCUUUGUUGUUUUUUUGUCUGCUGAACUACAAGCUUCCAAGGAAUCCUCUGUCUCCACUUCCUAUCAUACUGCAGGGGUGCUAUGAGUAUAGAUUCACACUACUGUGUCUGGAUUUACACAGGAUCUGGGGAUCCUCAAGCUUGCAUGACAAACACUUUACCCACUGAGUUACCUCUUAAACCCCCAAGAGUGAGUUGAAAAUAGAAAAAUAUAAUGACUUAAUUUUGAUUAGUCUAUUACUAGUUUUCAAAAUUCACUGUAUUUUUGUCUUCUUAUUACGAUGAUAAUGUGAGCUAGUGAGUUGCCAUUACACUGUCUGCUUUCUGAGGAGGAAUCCAGUGCUCAGAGAAUUAGAAUUUGAUCAUAAAGAUCUGAUCUUUAUAUAUUAAUCAUCUAGAGGGGCAGCCUAAAACCAUCUGAGUCUUCUAAUCCUGUGAAAUUCUGGAUUGUUACUCACCACUAAUAUAUUAGUGAUCAUUACCACUUUAAAAAAAAUCAACAUGGAUAAUUGAGUUAUUAUAAAAAUUUAAGAAACGAGUUAGGAAAAAAAAGUAGUCUGAGAUUUGAUUGUUAGACUCAGAAGCUGUCAAAUGUCCUUAGCAGAGAGCUGAAAGGUUUCCUAAACUGCAGUCUUUAGUGUGUUCAUUGCUCUGGGUGGGUAAUGAGCAACACCAGGAACACUUCCCAUGCCUGGACUACAUUCUGAGUAUUGUUCAACCCAUCAAGACAAAUCUCUAAGAGAAUCAGCAUCAUCAAGAAUGCACACCAACCAAGUUGCCAUGUUCACACAUACUUUCCUUUCUCUGGCCCUCUACCCAGCUGAUUGAACCAAGGCCACAGUGUGGCUAGUAACCUGUGAACUUGGUAAUUAUGCUUUAAAACUUGAGCUGGGUGUAUUAUUGUUGUUGCUGUUUUGUCUCUGGAUUCAUAUUUAACACAUGAAGAAAGGAUUUUCUAUAGCAUACCAAGAUACAUCAGAGGCAUCGGGACCUCAGAGUGACCUGUGAAAUCUGGGAAGUGUCCGGGCAAAAAGAGGAAUAUGUGCAGUAGAGCUGAGUCAUGUUAAUAAGGGAUCAGUAAAGCUUACAGAACUGCUGACUCUGCAGAGGUGCAUGAAGCUGCCAUCGUUCUAUAAUUACCUUGACUCCAAUAGCCCUUAGCCCCAGGCAUGAAACAGCAUUUUCUUUGACUGUUGUAAGAUAUAGAUCCCAUACUUCUUUCAGUGUACAUAUAUAUCCUGGCUGGCAUAAAUGGGCCUCUAAAUUAUUAAGAAACUUAGCUUAACCAAGACUUGGUCCCAGGCUUUUUACAUUUUAUCAAAUAAGCUUAUUCCAGAACUAACAGAUGCCACUGAGGAAGACAAAUUACACAUUUCGGCAGUGAUAUUUCAAAGCGAACUGGUCUGAGCUAGUGGAAUACUCUAUAUGCUUCUAAAAUUCUAACUCUUAUCUACAUAUCUAGUUUUCUGUUUCUUUGUUUCCAAAUUCCUCCCCUCAGAGAUUGAUUACAGCAUUUUCUGUAAUUCGUUAUAGUCUGCUUUUGCUUAAGGAGACAAUCUCUGGAAAUUUAUACCAAAUUACCCCAGUAAUAGAUGUGCUCUCGUAAUUCACCUGUCUUCUGCAUGUUCGCUGAUUUGUGAAACUCUUUAGAGCCAAACCUCACUCUUUAAUGGACCAGACAUGUGCUUUCAGCUGUGCUAACCAGGACACAUAACAUGUGACAAUGGUUUCUGGAAUCCCCCCAGAUACUGAAGGUGCAAGUAGGAGAUUGUGUGUGCUGUGAUUUACAACACAUGAUUAUCGCCUUGAUGGUUCGUUGUUUUUCGAAAUGUAAGUGUUCCUGUUGUUUUUAACUCACAAGCUACAGUAACAUGCACAUUUUCUUUGUGGGCAAAAAGUAUCAUUUAGCACAAAAGUCAAAACAUAGCUUCUUUAAAAAAAAAAAAAAAAAACUCCAAUUAAUUCUGAAUUUUAAGUGACUACUAAAUUAAACGUUUCCUGUCACAUGUUAACAAUAUGGGGCCUUUGACUGAAUGGAGCUCCGUGUAAUCUUAUUGAGCCAGUAGGUCACAGGAAUAAGAGAAAACGUGUUUGAAUCACAGGAGAGAGCGGAUGUUGGAUGGAUCUGUGAAAUAUUCUCUGUUGUGGUAUCAGCUGACUAAUGGCUGUGAUUCUCAGAAGGACUCCAACAUUAUGCCUCCUAAAAGCUGGAGAUUAAUGUGACCAUGGUGAACCACACAGCGAUACUCUGGCAAAGAAAAAGGGUCAGGACUGGCAAGAUGUGGCAGGUGUCAAAAUAAAAGGUUAGGCUCUGUGCCUGGGGACCCAUCUGUCAGAAAAAACUAUGAUAAGGCAAUUAAUGUAUUUGUUUAUGUUGCUCAUGUCACACCAUGCAUAUUCCAUAAAAAUGAUCAGUUUAAACACUCUCAACUGCUUUCUGGAAAUUAGACUAUAUGUAAAAAGAAAAUACUCAAGAUUUUUAAAAAAAGAUUUAUUAAAUGGAGAGGUUACACAGCCAAAUCAAGUUAACUUGAAGAACUUCUAGUCUCUUUACUAAAGAACUAAAGCUAUUAACUAUAACAUCUUCAUAAUGUAGAGUUUAUAUUAGGGACAUUUGAAGCGGAUGUUUAUGCUGCAAUAUAAUUGGUAUAUCACCUCAAAAUUUCACCAUGCUUUACAUUCAUGAUACUAGAUUCUAAGUUUGGAAUAAAAUACAUCCCAGAGAAUGUAUAAGAAACUGAGAACUUCCAACCAUAAGCUAUGUAUCCUGCAUUUUCUUCAAAUGUUUUGUUCACAACGUUGUCAUUAUUAGGGCUUUCAUUUUCACUCUGUGAGUAAUCCUGACUCCUCUCAUUGUAUUUAUUAUUUAUUUAGCUUUCUCACGACAUCUGCUUUACAAUCUGUUUAAACUAGAACAUGUUUAGGUUUAAUAUUCAUCGGUGAUGUAUUUCUUGCAGACAAAAUAAAUUAUCAUAUGCUUUAAAAAUGCCUUAUUAUUUUACAGGUCAAAAAAUAUAAAUGAAUUUACCCAGAAUUAUGAAAGAAAUAAGAUUUUUUUCACAGCUCAAAAUUUCAGGUAAAAAUUGAUUUUCUCAUUACUUUCUACUGUAGAGUUAAAAAAGCUCCCAGUUAUUGUUUUAAUACAUUAUUCUUACAAUAAUGUUAUGUUUUGAAGAGAAGAAACUGGUUCAUCAACUGCAUAAUGUGCUAUGUAGAAGGAAUAGUCAAGGCCUUCAAUUUCUGAAGAAAAGCCAGAUACGACUAUUUUGUUCUCAAGCUACACUUUCUGACAGAGUGAUGGUGUUAGCAUUCAUUGUGACAACAGAAAGAAGCAUUUGAAAAACAGAGCUCCCAUAUUCAAUGGAUUUAUUUUCAUUUUUGUUGAGACAGGAUUUACCCCCACUACUUCCCAUCUAUUAGAAGGGUUUUGAUUAAACUUUAAGUCAGUGAUUUUUUUUUCACCAGGACAACUUCCCAGCCCAAAGCAUGUCACAAUCUUUAAUUUUCUUCCAUCUCUCAUGGAAGCUUGGAUUCAGUGGACCAGCAGAUAUCAUGGUAUGUUGAGGAAGUAAAGGUCAGUGGAGAUUCAAGACACAGAUUUUAUUAUAGGGUUCUUUCUGAGGUCUGAUGCACGACUUACAAGUUAUGCUUGCAGUCUGACUACAACUAACUACUAUUUGAAAUUGAAUUCACUCCUGCCUGCAUUUCCUGGCUCAGAGGUUUAUACUGUUGCUUUAAUUUUAUUUGAAUUUCAGUCUUCUGAAUUAGCUCUGUUUUCUAUCUCUUUAUCUUCAUUUGCCUGCAUGUAGUUGAAAAUACAUGAGGGCAAAAUAAAAUUCUUAGUCACCAUUUUGUAUGGCUCUUCAAAAUUCUAAGAUGUGUAACAUUACCAGGCUGUGAUCAAUUCAGCUAACUGGACACUUUCUCUGUACCUUAGAGUAAAAGUAAUAAUCUCAACAGAAAGUUGGGAUCUCACUCAUUUUUUUCACAGAUCCAUUAAAAGAUCCAUCAAACAAAAGGUAAGAUGAUUUUUAACUUCUUCACAGUAGGGACUGUCCUAUAUAAAUGACCAAUUUCACAGCACAUAUUCUAUCUUUACAUGGGAAGAAAAUAAACAGCGAGGUUCCUUUUAUUUUUAAAAUGAUUUAAUUUCUACUUUCACUUUUCUACAGAAGUGUGAAAGAGCAAUUUUGCUGGAUAUCCACUUAUUUCAAUUCAGCCAUGUGACGGUAUUAUGAGAACUCUGGUGGGGUGGUUGACCCCUCUUUCCUCUGGGACUGUGCAAACCUCCCUCUGUUUUAACCAUAGAAAAACCUACUUCAAAUGACUAGCGUGUGCCCGCCUGCAUCGGAUGCGCCUUUUCCUUAGCCUCACACGCUUCUGGACCUCUUCUGUCUCAGGCAUCACUUUUCUGGCCAGACCCUUGUAUUUGUUUGUACUAUCAUUUAUGGUUUCAGGGAUUUAUUUUAAUACAUUGAGCAUUUGCUCAAUAUUAGGUAAGUAAUAUUUUACCUCCAUUUCCAGAUGAUGAAACUCUGGUAUACUGAGGGUAACCAUUCUUAAAAUAUGGACCUAUCUUCUUUUAGUAAUGGGGAUUCUAUGCAUCUACUUAUUGCUAAAUUGCUGAGGAACCAGGAUGAAAGUCUGAGAGUUGUGUGGCAGGUAAAAAUAUACAACUCCAGACAGAUGAAGCAGGAAUUUUGAACACCGAUCUUUCUAAUUCCUGUUUCUCCCAAGUCAGAGGGUUGCAGUAACUGGCGAUUGCCCUAGGCAUGUGUCAUUUUAGUUCCCAGAAAUACUUGUGCACCAACAUAGUGCCUUAGGUGAUGCGAUCGGGCUAUAAUCAAGGUGUCUUUUGUGGGCUGAGCUCCUUUAAGUACUAACAAUGAGGGGCCUGGUCCAGGGGAGGUACUCUGACAGACACUGCUGGUUUCUUGUGUAAGUACAGGAUUGUUUUUCUUGUAGUGAUUAUAUCCUCUUUUCAUACAUAAUGCCAUGGAUUAGCAUCUUGCUUUUUUAUUGGUUUGCCUUUUCUGCAGUUUAUCUCUUUUAACGAUCUUUUGGAGAGCUAGCAUUUAAAUUUGUCACUCAACUGUUCUCUCACUUAUAAAUUAUUGAUCUCUAAUCGUAUCUUUAUUAAUUUAUUCCUGCCAUUUUAUACUCAUUUAGAAAAUUAUUCCUCUUUUUUUUUUACUGGGAUGCUUAAUUAAUCUAUUUUCAUUCUUUCUUGUUUAACAUGAAAAAUAUUAAAGCAUUAUAUUUUCUUUUGAGUACUGGUCUGGCAGAAUCCUACCAUGUUUAGUUCUUCUAUGAAUAUUUUUGAUUUUUAACCUUGCCAUGAGUAGGGAAUCACCCCCCACCCUUACCCAAAUUCCUAAGAUUGACCCACAGCUCCAAUAUUGCUACCAUCUUCUGAUAUGGUGGCAUAUAUUUUAACUGAGUGCUUCUUCUCACCUGCUUUUGUAACUGUCUGUAGCCAUCUCACCAUGAUCCAGGAGGAGAACUGAGUGAUGAUUCUAGGAUGGUAGGGGAUGUGAACAGUGACAGUAAAAGGAAGUCUUUGUCUUUUUCCUGAUUCUGCAAAUGCAGAUCUGAAGAAGGAAGGAUCUGGACCUUCCUGGAUCCCAGGUGAAAACAGCAACUUCUGGAAUGAGCAAGCAGAAGACCCAGUCUCCAAGGAGCUACUUUAUUGGACCUGAAAAUAUACAAAAUUAUUGUUGUAAGAGAGAAAUUAACAUCUAUCCCUUUAGGGGCCAUUAUUUCAAGACCCCACUUCAGCAGCUGCAAUGAUAUAAUAACUGAUACAGUUACUAAUUACUAGUUCAGUUGCAUUGCUACCAAGGAAUAUGAAAUAUAUAAAAUGUAUGUUCUAGUUCUAUAUAGAAUAUGUAUGCUAAGAUAUUUUAGCUGUUUAAGAAGUGAUCAAGUUUUGUAAGUAUUUACUACUGUUUUUAUGAAUUUUCUAUUACAUAACUGUAUGAUGUCUACAUAUAUACAUACACACACACACACAUAUAUAUGCUAUUCAACCCACAUUAUUAGUUGUGUUACUAUUUUCCAUAUCAUGCUCUAUAUAACAGCAUUGCAUAGAAGACUGAUGAGUUUCCAUCAAAAUAAAAAUGUUUCCUGGUCUCUUUAA